CUUAUUAGUUGUUUUAUUAUUCUUUAUUUUGGACAAAAUACUGAAUGUAAAAUUUGUCAUCUUAAACAUUUUUAGGAAUACUGUAUGGUGCCAUUAACUGCAUGCACGUUAUUGUGCAGCAGACCUCUUGAACGUCUUCAUCUUGAAAAACUGAAAUUCUGUAUCCACUGAACAGCUCCUGUGAUGGUCGAUCUGGGCAUCACCUUGCCUGCAUGGAGGGACGCUCGGACCGUCGGUAUGCCAUUAGUUGAUUAGUGACUCUCCAUGCUUGGAAGGGCACCGACCCAUCCCUCUUCUGCUGAAGGGAAACCAAGGUGAUUUGGGGUUUGAUUAGCAUGAUUCAGGUGUCACCGUGAGGUGUUUCUGGGCGAGAUUGGAAUUUGUGUCGUGGACUGAGGAAGGCCUGUCCUCCCGUGGGCAGCUGUCUCCACUUGGCGGGGGCCAGGAUGGAACUCAAAGGGUGAGGAGGGAAAAUUGUUGUCUUUCUUCCAGAGCCAGAACGCACUCCUCCUGCUCUUGGAUUGCAGAACUCCUGACUCUCUGGGCUUUGGACCCGGGACUCACGAGUGGCAGCCCCAGGCUCUCAGGCCUUCGGCCUCAGGCCGAGCCACACCGCGGCUUCUCCCGUCCCAAGGCCUUCGGACUCGGCUGAGCCUCUACUGUCUGUCCUGGUGGCCAGCGUGAAGACAGCCCGUCCUGGGAUCUCGCUGUCUCCUUAAGCCUGCACGUGCGCUCACUGCUCACUCACCGACUCCCCAGAGCGACUUCCAGUCUUGCAAGCUCAUUCACGACCCUGACAGACACAGUGGGCUCUUCACACAGGUGUUCAGCAAGUGGAAAAAUGGGAGUCAUC
Non-coding RNA from Microcebus murinus (gray mouse lemur), 853 nucleotides. Lineage: Eukaryota; Metazoa; Chordata; Mammalia; Primates; Cheirogaleidae. The record is from RefSeq and is a predicted model, not a curated record.